UACUGUGCAUGAUGAUUUAAAAUCAAUGGGAAUCUCUCUGAAUUAGAAUGAAAGACUUCUUUUUAAACUGAAACAGUA
This is a small nucleolar RNA of Pygocentrus nattereri (red-bellied piranha), 78 nucleotides long. Its record names the gene SNORD79. It matches the Rfam family "Small nucleolar RNA SNORD79". From Rfam's summary of the family: snoRNA U79 or Z22 is found in intron 7 of the gas5 gene in humans and is also present in mice. U79 is a member of the C/D class of snoRNA which contain C (UGAUGA) and D (CUGA) box motifs. Most of the members of the C/D box family function in directing site-specific 2'-O-methylation of substrate RNAs. Lineage: Eukaryota; Metazoa; Chordata; Actinopteri; Characiformes; Serrasalmidae. The record is from Ensembl.